AAUUCUCAACCCAUAUCCUAUCUCCAUCCAGGAAGCUGAAACGCUGAUGUUCUUGAAGGUGGGGAAAGAAGAAAUCCUCUCCCCUCCUAGAAGACAGAGCAACCCUGCCUAGGGAAGAAGGAAAAAGAAGACAAAGACAGGAUUCUGCGUUCCAAGAACUCUCUGAUCCUGAAGCUCAUUUCUUUUCCAUUUUAAGAGUAUUCUUCUUUAUACAUCUAUGUAUUUAGAUUCUACCCUCAGUCCAUUCUCUUCUCACUCCACUAACUCUCCUAACAAAAGCUCCAAACAAUUGGCUCCAACAUCCAGGGUGGACUCAAGUUUUAUAAGGGCAGAAAUGUAUACAAUUAAAAAAGAAUAUAAAUUUGAAAAUGCAAAAUUAGAUAUAAAAGUAACGGCUUAUGAAGAAUGAGACAACACAACCCCUUAGUGAUGUCAUGGCUGGUCUCAGGCACCACCCAGUCAGGACCCCCUCCACUGUCAUAGGUUAUAGAUCUAAGCUGUCACUGCCAACAAAGCUAUGAUUCUGACCUAACUCCCACUCAGUCCAUUUUCAUGUAAUCAUGCUUUAGAAAAUUACUUCUUUCACUAAUAAGGUGCCUGGUCAGUUGGGAGAAUUCACCAAUGCUUAUGAGUCUUUUGUGCAAUAUUUCAUUAAGCAUUUUCAAUAUUCUGGUUGAUAACUAAAGGAAGAAAUGAACACAGUUAUGUCUGGCAAUGAUUAUAAAAACAUAAUAAAAAUUAAAAUCCUCUGGACAA
RNAcentral lists this long non-coding RNA (756 nucleotides) under Marmota monax (woodchuck). The record is from RNAcentral. Lineage: Eukaryota; Metazoa; Chordata; Mammalia; Rodentia; Sciuridae.